RNAcentral lists this ribosomal RNA (400 nucleotides) under uncultured Pseudomonadota bacterium. RNAcentral's name for it is "bacterial SSU rRNA". It matches the Rfam family "Bacterial small subunit ribosomal RNA", at positions 46 to 486 of the family's 1533-position model. Lineage: Bacteria; Pseudomonadati; Pseudomonadota. The record is from RNAcentral.
GCUUAACACAUGCAAGUCGAGCGGUAACACUUAGGGUGACGAGCGGCGGACGGGUGAGUAACACGUAGGUAAUCUACCUUAAGGAUGGGGACAACCCAAGGAAACUUGGGCUAAUACCCAAUAUGGCUUCGGCUGAAAACUCCGGUGCCUUAAGAGGAGCCUGCGUCCUAUUAGCUAGAUGGUGGGGUAACGGCCUACCAUGGCAACGAUAGGUAGCUGGUUUGAGAGGAUGAUCAGCCACACUGGGACUGAGACACGGCCCAGACUCCUACGGGAGGCAGCAGUGGGGAAUAUUGCACAAUGGGGGAAACCCUGAUGCAGCUACGCCGCGUGUGUGAUUGAAGGCCUUAGGGUUGUAAAGCACUGUUGUAGGGGAAGAAUUUUGACGGUACCCUAUGUA